Austrofundulus limnaeus is the source of this 361-nucleotide long non-coding RNA. RefSeq lists it as uncharacterized. NCBI's taxonomy places the organism in Eukaryota, Metazoa, Chordata, Actinopteri, Cyprinodontiformes, Rivulidae. The transcript has 2 exons. The record is from RefSeq and is a predicted model, not a curated record.
GCAUUCAGUUCCUGAUUCACAAAAAUAAAAGCCAUUUAUUUAAACCCACAGUGUAGGAGCAGUUUGUGGGAGCAUGUUGAUAUUCUCCCAGAACUCACCUGAGACCCCCUGAAUUCCCCUACACCCACUUACUGUGGAACUGAAACAGAUCAGACCUUCUUGUUGAGCAGAUCCUGGACAUGGUUCUCGUCCAACGGACAAUAACAAGGCAGUGAAGAGCAGCAGGAAUUGUUUCCGACACUAAAUCAAUCUGCACCAAAUAAACAUCGGACUGCCACACCACUUUUCAUCCUGCAACCUCAGUUUGAGGAUUAACAUGUCUGAUUUAUUACAGUCUAAUAAUAAAGACAUUAAAACUUUA